CUCACAAUCGGUUCUAUUUAAUAAACAAUACGUUGUUACGAUAAAAAAGUUGAACUAGUUUCACUUGUUUGAGGGAUAGGCUCACAAUGUGUCAACUUUUAAUACCUACCCGACUACUUUGAUUAUAUUGACAUUUGUUCCCCAACCUCGUGUUGCUCAAUUAGUUCCAACCAGGAUGUGGGAGUAGCAUAAGAAGAACCGGCCGUUAACAGAUGCUAGAUCCUGUAAAGGGAGGAAGCCGUACUGUUUGAAACACAUGCAUGCCAAGAAUGGAGCAAAAGCAAAGUUGCUAUGACAUGGAAGCUGUUUUCGCCUAUACAUUAUCCAAGCGGGUCCACUAACCUACUGGGUCAUAGGAGAGAAGCCAUAUCCUGAAACUGAGAAGAAUAUUUGGGAAGGAAAAUGGUGUGUUUUUAUUAUCUGAGUCAGGAAAGGACAUUUAAAGGUGGUCAACACAUGAAAGGAACUGAAUAAUGAGGAUUAAUUAAAAGAGACGUGACAUUGUUUUGGAUGCAUUUUGGUACCACUAUUCCCAAGAAAGACAGCCCCAUUGAUAUGAGAUACAAAAGCAUCUUUCUCUUCUCAUGCCAGGUUUGUGUCUGCUUUUAAGAAAUUAUCAUUUUUAGCUGUAUCAAUGGCUCAACAGGUAGCACACUCACCUUCGAUGCUGGAAGAUAAAACAACUGAGGGUUCUAUUCCCACUCCAAGUAUUUAGAUUCAUCUUUCCAAUACUGACACUGUGUUGCAGAAUAAGAGGAAUUCUUGACUCCUGAGUGUACCAUCCUUUGAAUGAGACAUUAAAUUGACACUGUAUUUACCUGAGCUGGUGGUAGCUCAGGUUGAUGUAAAAGAGCCCAUGGUAGUUAUCAGAAAGAGAAGGGGAAUUUAUUUGAUGUCCAAUGCCAUCUUGGAUCUCCCAUGAAAAGAGGCUGCUAGCUUUGUGUGACUUAAUCCAGUCAAAAAAAGUGUAUAAUGAAUAACAAAAUUAAUUGUUCCAGAACAUCUAAAAGGUAAUGUGUAGUUCUUUAUUCUGUUCAUAUUUACUUAAUACCCAGUGUGAGUGCAUUUCUUGUCUAGAAUAAUUCCAUCACAUUUUCCUAUCUUAUAUGAACUCUGUGUAUGUAUUGCUGUCAUUCGAUGAUUCAAGGAAUGUGUAUGUAUAGUGUUUUACAAUGUAAAAUACUGAAGAUUCACAGUUUUGUCCCUUGUAGUUGUUUUGGUCAUUUUAUACAUCAAUAUUUUGCUGAAAGUGAUAAAAUAGUGAUUAGUUCUUAAUUCUAGCAGUUUCAGCUAGAACAGGUUUUUCACAGAGUUUGGUAUUAAUUUAACAAAUUGAUUAACUGGACCCAGUAAUAUUUGCAAACUUCUUUUUUUUCCAAGACAUCAUGGGGGGAUGCCUAGGCUAUGCUUAGGCAGCAUUAAGAUCCAUCAUUAAAUACAAUUUUUGUUCCAGAAGAUGUUAACUUUAUAUAAAACAAGACUUAAAAUGAUGUUAUUUGAUUACUUAGUAGUUUAACUGUGUGGGACUGUCAGCAGGAUAAAGGUUGAGGGUUAUCACUGCAAGUGCAAUAAUCAAUAGUCACUGUGUGUCGUUUAUUCCUUUGCAAUAUUUCUGAGUAAUAAAUGGCACAAUGCCAUAUUUUCCUUGCAGCAAAUAAAAUAAACCACUCAUACUGAGCUUUAGAUGAUAAGGAUAAGUUAUCCACCUAGGUUACAAGCAAGCUGGGUGACCUGUGCAAUCUUCUGGGUUUUACAGAG
This is a long non-coding RNA of Protopterus annectens (West African lungfish), 1758 nucleotides long. RefSeq lists it as uncharacterized. The record is from RefSeq and is a predicted model, not a curated record. The transcript is spliced from 3 exons. Lineage: Eukaryota; Metazoa; Chordata; Ceratodontiformes; Protopteridae.